This 596-nucleotide ribosomal RNA is filed under the name Ironus sp. 801S-011. RNAcentral's name for it is "SSU rRNA". It matches the Rfam family "Eukaryotic small subunit ribosomal RNA", at positions 1024 to 1643 of the family's 1831-position model. Lineage: Eukaryota; Metazoa; Nematoda; Enoplea; Enoplida; Ironidae. The record is from RNAcentral.
UUCUAACCGUAAACGAUGCAAACUAGCGAUCCGUUGGCGUUAAAAAUAUGACUCCACGGGCAGCUUCCGGGAAACCAAAGUGUUUCUGUUCCGGGGGAAGUAUGGUUGCAAAGCUGAAACUUAAAGGAAUUGACGGAAGGGCACCACCAGGAGUGGAGCCUGCGGCUUAAUUUGACUCAACGCGGGAAAUCUCACCCGGCCCUGACACUGUAAGGAUUGACAGAUUGAUAGCUCUUUCUUGAUUCGGUGGGUGGUGGUGCAUGGCCGUUCUUAGUUGGUGGAGCGAUUUGUCUGGUUAAUUCCGAUAACGAACGAGACUCUAGCCUACUAAAUAGUGAAUAAAUUCUUUGGUUUGUUAACUUCUUAGAGGGAUAAGUGGUGUUUAGCCACACGAGAUUGAGCAAUAACAGGUCUGUGAUGCCCUUAGAUGUUCGGGGCUGCACGCGCGCUACACUGAAGAAUAGAGCGUGUAUUGAAAGCCUUUUCCGGAAGGAAUGGGUAACCCUGUGAAACUUCUUCGUGCUUGGGAUAGGGAAUUGAAAUUAUUUCCCUUUAACGAGGAAUUCCUAGUAAGUGCGGGUCAUUAUCUCGCGUUG